CCACUGUGACAGCUUAGACUUCGGUCUUUGCAAUUGCUUGGGUGUCGAAAGGCGCCCAAUCUUUAAAACUUUUAUAUUUGUUCUGAAACAAUGAAAAUUUAAAACUUUCAACAACGGAUCUCUUGGUUCUCGUAUCGAUGAAGAACGCAGCAAAGCGCGAUAGGUAAUGCGAAUUGCAGACGUGAGUCAUUGAAUUUUUGAACGCAUAUUGCGCUAUUAGUUUGUCUAAUAGCAUGCUUGUUGGAGUGAUAAUCUUCCUCUCAACCAUUUUUGGUAUGAGGUCUUGCUCCUUUUAGGAGUUAAAAUCAUGGAAGUGCACACGUUAAUUAACUCUGUGCAGUUAUACACUUUUCAUCCUCCAAUCAAGCAAGGUUACCCGCUGAACUUAAGCAUAUCAAUAAGCGGAGGAAAGAGAUCAUUUCUGAAGGCUUUUUGCCAAAACCACUGUGAACAGCUUANACUUCNGUCUUUGCAAUUGCUUGGGUGUCNAAAGGCGCCCAAUCUUUAAAACUUUUAUAUUUGUUCUGAAACAAUGAAAAUUUAAAACUUUCAACAACGGAUCUCUUGGUUCUCGUAUCGAUGAAGAACGCAGCAAGCGC
RNAcentral lists this ribosomal RNA (599 nucleotides) under Starmerella bacillaris. Its description in RNAcentral is "eukaryotic LSU rRNA". The stretch from base 103 to 251 matches the Rfam family "5.8S ribosomal RNA". The record is from RNAcentral. Lineage: Eukaryota; Fungi; Ascomycota; Dipodascomycetes; Dipodascales; Trichomonascaceae.